UAAUACUACCACAAUGUUGUGCCUUAUUUUGGAGUAUUAUUACUUUUAGCACAUACAAAAACCUUGUAUAAUAUUUGAUCGUAAAAAAUAUAUAAAAUUUAACCGACACAACAUCUGCAAGCCAAAAAACGUAAAACCCGAGCAUAACCCGCUUGAUCACUAAUGUUGUUUGAAUCCAUUCCUGCAAAAAGGUUAUGAUGUAUUAGCUAUAGGUUAACCUAAAAAUAAAGCCAACUUGUGAGAAUAGUUUCAAUUAAGUAUACAAUGUAAAAAAACCUCACAACAAUUAAUAAUUUUAAAUUCCGAAUUUCUAAUUUUUUUUUAUUAAUGAGACUUUUGUAUAAGAUAUGGGAAAUUUAUGUCAAUAAUUUUCAGUUCCAUUGUCGGCAAGUACUCCAUUUGUUUUAAUUUGUUUGAAUCUUUUUGGAGUACAAUGUUAGAAUAAGUGAUUAACGCUAGAGGGGGGGUGAAUAGCGUUUUAUAAAAAUUCGCAGUAAAAAAUAACUCAAAUG
Molecule: long non-coding RNA, 512 nt
Filed under: Nicotiana benthamiana
Lineage: Eukaryota; Viridiplantae; Streptophyta; Magnoliopsida; Solanales; Solanaceae
Description: long non-coding RNA (NBEN_LNC039148)
Source: RNAcentral